UGCAAAUACAUAAUGUGGGACCUAUAAUUUAGAUAUAAAGAGUUUUUGGUCAAAGUAUUAUCAAUCUAUAAAUAAUAGUAAACCCUAGCAAAGGAACAACAUCACUAUAGAAGACAAAGGCAUGAUGAAAACUCCCUCAACUUUCUUGGUCCUCUUCUCUCUUCUUUUGAUUGUGAGUAGUAAUGAAGCUAGAAGUAAUCCAGGAAAAUAUUGGAGAAGUAUAAUGAAAGAUGAGCCCAUGCCAAAGACCAUUCGAGAUAUAUUGCCUCUUGAAGAUCUUAAGAAAGCAAAUAAGGAUCUAUUCAUCAGAAACUUUGAUUUAAAACCGAAUCUCAUAAUUUAUCACUCUCAUGUGAUGUACACUGAAAAAAAUCAUCGAUUAGUCUCAUCCUCUUCAUCAUCUGAUAAGUUACAUUAAUUAGUCGAAUAUGUUUAUAUAUGUUUUCUUAUGAAAAAAUGGGAUCUUGAUUCUUAUGUAUGGAUUGUAGUUUUGUUAUUAGUGGUUAUGGACUUAUUAUAGUUCAUAAAUAGUUUAAUUUUAGCAUCAUUAAUUCUGGCCCUA
Long non-coding RNA from Lactuca sativa (garden lettuce), 562 nucleotides. RefSeq lists it as uncharacterized. The record is from RefSeq and is a predicted model, not a curated record. Lineage: Eukaryota; Viridiplantae; Streptophyta; Magnoliopsida; Asterales; Asteraceae.